GGGAAGAUGGCCGAGUGGUCUAAGGCGCCAGCUUCAGGUUUAUUCCGACAUGCUGGUCUCUUCGGAGGCGAGGGUUCGAACCCCUCUCUUCUCA
This is a transfer RNA of Saitoella complicata NRRL Y-17804, 94 nucleotides long. It matches the Rfam family "tRNA". From Rfam's summary of the family: Transfer RNA (tRNA) molecules are approximately 80 nucleotides in length. Their secondary structure includes four short double-helical elements and three loops (D, anti-codon, and T loops). The record is from Rfam. NCBI's taxonomy places the organism in Eukaryota, Fungi, Ascomycota, Saitoellomycetes, Saitoellales, Saitoellaceae.